CGCGAAUUCCACACCCGGAAGCAAAUCUGGAGAGCUGGUUUUGUUGUUGUUGUUUGUUUGUUUGUUUGUUUUUUUGUUUUUUUUAAACCGUCUCUCAGAGGCUGACGCAGUGACCAAUCAGCAGAGACUGGGAAAAAAGAUGGAAUGACGUCUCCUAGGGGCGGAGCCAAGGCCGCUUAGGGGGCGGGCAUUUGAAACCGGUGCUUCAUAGUCGACCCCAAAUAUCAUCUUGUGCCGUUGAGAACCAAUUACUUAAUCUCUUUUGCGUCUUUUCCUUUCCCGACCCCCUCCCAGACUCUUUCGCUGCGGUUCUGCGGGGACGGAAGGCGCCAGGAGCCGGUCCGCGUCUCGCAAGCGUGAGAUGUGAGGAGAGCUUGGCAACUGACCGAUCCAACGGCUCCUGCUCCUCAGUAGACCCCGCAGCCUAGGGACUAGAGUUGUCACUUAAGUGGAUAUGAAGAAGGCGCAAUUAAGUACGGGGGCAGCCACGAGCUUUCCAAAGUGACAUUUACAAAUAAAGCGACCACAGAUAUUCUUAGAAAUGCAGAGAAGUGUGCACGUGCAUUUCAUGUGAGCCACAUCAGCGGAGGGGAGAUCUCUUCUGUGGAAUGCCUCCAUGCCUGAUAUUGUCCAGCAUCUCACUGUCACCUGACCUGGCAGUGUGUGCAGUGACUUGUCAUUAAUAUUGUGACUGUGAUUCCUUGAUGUCUAAUUGAUGUAAUCAUCUAUGUGGAGUGUGGGGUGUAUGUGCGUGUGUGUGUGUGUGUGUGUGUGUGUGUGAGCACGCACACUCACACUACUUUCCUAUGAAUUGUGUUUUCCUUACAGAUUUUUGAGUUCUUAAUGCUAUGGGUAGUGAGUAGUUCCUGCUCCUCACCGCACAUAUCACUUCCUACUUCUUAGCUUCUCAUUUGAAAAUAUCUAAUACUGAUUUUGAUAUGUGAAAAUCUUCUACUUGGGGGUUCAAUUUACGAGUCCUUUUUCUUAAGUGUGUGCUAUUUUUUACUUGAGAAUGUUCUUACUUUGAAAUCAUACUCAUAUUCUGUUAUUACCUUCUAAAAGCUUCUCAGGCCACCAUGCAUUCAUUUUAUCCACAAUGCGCUGGUGCUGUCUUGACAUCUAGUUAAACAAUUCUUACUAAUUCUUCCUCUUGUCCAAGAUCUCUUUGCCCUUCAUAUAUUCAGGAGCUAACUGUCAAGUUCUGUACACUUGGAAAUUUAAUUGAAAUAACAUUAUAUUUGCAAGGACUGAUGUUUUUAUAGUAGCGAGUCUUUAGAUUUAGAAAUGAAAUACAUAUUUUUUCUUUUUUUUUAUUUAAUCAUUCUAUUCCUUUACAUCUCGAAUACUAUCCCUCUUCCUGGUUACUCCUCCACAACUCCUCCAUCCCUCAUCCGCUGCUGUCUCUCCCCUCUCCUUUGCCUCUAUGAGGAUGCUGCACCACCCACCCACCCACCCACCACUCCAGCAUCCCCCUACGCUGGGGCUUCAAACCUCUACAAUUACCAAGGGCCUCCCCUCCCACUGAUGUCAGACAAGGCCAUCCUGUACUACAUAUGUAUCUGGAACCAUGGAUUCCUGCCUGUACACUCCUUGGUUGGUGGUCUAGUCCCUGGGAACACUGGAUGGUCCGGCCAGCCAACAUAGGUCUUCCUAUGGGGGUUCCAAUCCCCCUCUGCUCCUCCAGUCCUUCUGCCAGCUCCCCCACUGAGGACCCCUGAGCUCAGUCUGAUGGUUGGCUCCAAGCGUCCACAUCUGCAUUGAUCAGUUGUUGGCUGAACCUCCCAGGGAACUGCCACACCUGUUUCUGUCAGCAAGCGCCUCUUGACAACAGCAACAGUGUCAAAGUUUGGUGUCUGGACAGGAUGGAUCCCCAGGUGGGAAGUCCCUGGAUGGCCUUUCCUUCAGUCUCUGCUCCAUUAUUUUUGUCCUUAUCUUUCCUCUUUUCAUUUAUUAAGGUCGUCUUUGUUUUCUAAAGUAUGUCAGUAUACUAUUUUUUCUGAUAUAUUGAAUAUAUUUCAUAGCAUUCUCACAAGCUCUCAUAUUUAAUGCUAUUGUUGACGAUAUUCUUAAAAUUGGGUCAUUUGUAACUGAUGUACACAAGUAUAAUUAUUUUUAUAUAUACCUACUUUAAAUUCAGAGAACUCACCGAACUCUUCUGUUAAUUCAAGUGGUUUACUCUGAAUAUUUUAUACACAUGCCAUCUGCCAAUAAUAAUAAUGUUUCUUUUUUUUUUCCAGUCUCUUUUCACUCUGCCUUCCCUUUUUUUUGCCUUGUGUUGGUUUGAACUUCCAGGGCAAUGUUGAAUAAAGAUUCUGAUCCCA
Molecule: long non-coding RNA, 2321 nt
Organism: Apodemus sylvaticus (European woodmouse)
Lineage: Eukaryota; Metazoa; Chordata; Mammalia; Rodentia; Muridae
Exons: 2
Source: RefSeq, a predicted model, not a curated record